GAAAUGCGAUACGUAGUGUGAAUUGCAGAAUUCAGUGAAUCAUCGAAUCUUUGAACGCACAUUGCGCCCUUUGGUAUUCCAAAGGGCAUGCCUGUUCGAGCGUCAUUUGUACCCUCAAGCUUUGCUUGGUGUUGGGCGUCUUAUUGUCUCUCCGUCUCGGGGAGACUCGCCUUAAAACAAUUGGCAGCCGGCCUACUGGUUUCGGAGCGCAGCACAAAUUUGCGCUUGCAAUCAGCCAAGGGCGGCAUCCAUGAAGCCUUUUUUCUCUCACAUUUUGACCUCGGAUCAGGUAGGGAUACCCGCUGAACUUAA
This 312-nucleotide unclassified non-coding RNA is filed under the name uncultured Pleosporaceae. RNAcentral describes it as "sequence contains ITS1". The stretch from base 1 to 105 matches the Rfam family "5.8S ribosomal RNA", at positions 50 to 154 of the family's 154-position model. RNAcentral also lists the same sequence under 2 other names. The record is from RNAcentral. Lineage: Eukaryota; Fungi; Ascomycota; Dothideomycetes; Pleosporales; Pleosporaceae.